CCCGGGCUGGGCAGCACCGGCAAAGGCCGGGAACAGGGCCAUGUCUCAGCUUACCGCCACUACUAUCAGCCCGAACUGCCCCGUGGAGCGGCGGGGCAAGAUGGCGCCGCAGCGCCGAGCAUACUGGGAUAUGUAGUUCGUCCGCCCGACCCCCCAAAAUGGCGGCGAGGCCCGGUGGCUGUUGAGGGAAGAAAGGCUCUGUGCUGGGGCUGCCGCGGGCGUCCAGCCUUCACCAGUGAUGUUUUCUGCACACAAGGAUUCUCACCCUCUCAAGGAAAACCAUAGUUAGAGCUAUCGUGCCACUCCUAGAAGUGAAUUCUAAAGCCUGAUGAUCAUCUGUCUCCCCACACCCCAUACAUUUUCCUUCCCCACAAGUGGGGUGGAGCAAGAGAAGGCAGCAGCAAGGACAAGCAGCGAUUUAUUUCUCUGCAAUUUCUGGCCCUGUGUCACCAUGGCUGUGGGGCAGAGAGCCCCCUGCGGCCACCUUUUUUGUAGCCUUUUCUUCACUCAGCAUUUCUGA
RNAcentral lists this long non-coding RNA (520 nucleotides) under Bubo bubo (Eurasian eagle-owl). Its description in RNAcentral is "lncRNA (ENSBOBG00000011668.1)". Lineage: Eukaryota; Metazoa; Chordata; Aves; Strigiformes; Strigidae. The record is from RNAcentral.